UUAAAGACGCUCCUUAUUUGCUGGGAGUACUGCAAAAUGUGGGUUAAAAAAGUGAACAUUUUCUUUAUCCUUAUGGUUUUUAUAACCAUGAUUUUUGGACUUCCUACUGAUAAACCACGACCAGAACUCCACAAUAUUAUUACUGUACAUUGUCAAAAAGGUUACGCGAAACUGAAUGGCAAGUGUGUUCGUACUGAAUGAAAGCAGCAAGUACCUAUUGGUACCCAAUAAGGAAAUACAUAUUUUAUUUUUUAAUCUAAAUAUAUGUUAUAUUGAAAUAAUUUAAGAAUUACAUUUUUUACCUGCCCAAUAUUUUAUUAACAUUCUAAAUCUCUGUAUACAAGUUUAUCAAAUAAACAUGUUUUAACCUGA
This is a long non-coding RNA of Tribolium madens (black flour beetle), 372 nucleotides long. RefSeq lists it as uncharacterized. Lineage: Eukaryota; Metazoa; Arthropoda; Insecta; Coleoptera; Tenebrionidae. The transcript is spliced from 2 exons. The record is from RefSeq and is a predicted model, not a curated record.